Molecule: ribosomal RNA, 806 nt
Filed under: uncultured bacterium
Lineage: Bacteria
Description: bacterial SSU rRNA
Rfam family: Bacterial small subunit ribosomal RNA
Source: RNAcentral
AGAGUUUGAUCCUGGCUCAGAAUGAACGCUGGCGGCGUGCUUAACACAUGCAAGUCGUGCGCGAAGGUGGCUUCGGCCACCGGAGAGCGGCGAACGGGUGAGUAACACGUGGGUGAUCUGCCUGGAAGCGGGGGAUAACCUGGGGAAACUCGGGCUAAUACCGCAUACGUUGUCGGGGGGUAGACUUCGACAAGAAAACCGGCCUCUGCUUGCAAGCUGGUGUUUCCAGAGGAGCCCGCGUCUGAUUAGCUAGUUGGUGAGGUAAUGGCUCACCAAGGCGACGAUCAGUAGCCGGCCUGAGAGGGUGAUCGGCCACACUGGGACUGAGACACGGCCCAGACUCCUACGGGAGGCAGCAGUGGGGAAUAUUGGACAAUGGGCGCAAGCCUGAUCCAGCAACGCCGCGUGGAGGACGAAGGUCUUCGGAUCGUAAACUCCUGUCAGAUGGGACGAAGGGACCAGGGUAAAUAAUCCUGGUUCUUGACGGUACUAUCAGAGGAAGCCCCGGCUAACUCCGUGCCAGCAGCCGCGGUAAUACGGAGGGGGCGAGCGUUAUUCGGAAUUAUUGGGCGUAAAGGGCGCGUAGGCGGCUUGGCAAGUCAAAGGUGAAAUCCCUCGGCUCAACUGAGGAACUGCCUUUGAAACUGCCUGGCUUGAGGCCGGGAGGGGAGCGGAAUUCCCAGUGUAGCGGUGAAAUGCGUAGAUAUUGGGAGGAACACCAGUGGCGAAGGCGGCUACCUGGACCGGUUCUGACGCUGAUGCGCGAAAGCGUGGGUAGCAAACAGGAUUAGAUACCCUAGUAGUCC